AUACGGAGGGGGCUAGCGUUGUUCGGAAUUACUGGGCGUAAAGCGCGCGUAGGCGGACCAGUCAGUCAGGGGUGAAAUCCCGGGGCUCAACCCCGGAACUGCCUUUGAUACUGCUGGUCUUGAGUUCGAGAGAGGUGAGUGGAAUUCCGAGUGUAGAGGUGAAAUUCGUAGAUAUUCGGAGGAACACCAGUGGCGAAGGCGGCUCACUGGCUCGAUACUGACGCUGAGGUGCGAAAGCGUGGGGAGCAAACAGGAUUAGAUACCCCGGUAGUCC
RNAcentral lists this ribosomal RNA (274 nucleotides) under uncultured bacterium. RNAcentral describes it as "partial 16S ribosomal RNA". It matches the Rfam family "Bacterial small subunit ribosomal RNA", at positions 523 to 796 of the family's 1533-position model. The record is from RNAcentral.